RNAcentral lists this non-coding RNA (72 nucleotides) under human gut metagenome. The record is from RNAcentral. RNAcentral also lists the same sequence under 1 other name.
AAAGGGGUGCCACAAGGCUGAGAUUAUACCCUCUGAACCUGAACGGAUAAUGCCGGCGAAGGGAUUGUAUCA